AGUGGCGGACGGGUGAGUAACGCGUGAGAAUCUGCCUUGGGGUCGGGGACAACCACUGGAAACGGUGGCUAAUACCGGAUAAGCCGAUUGGUGAAAGAUUUAUUGCCCGAAGAGGAGCUCGCGUCUGAUUAGCUAGUUGGUGAGGUAAGAGCUCACCAAGGCAGCGAUCAGUAGCUGGUCUGAGAGGACGAUCAGCCACACUGGGACUGAGACACGGCCCAGACUCCUACGGGAAGCAGCAGUGGGGAAUUUUCCGCAAUGGGCGAAAGCCUGACGGAGCAAGACCGCGUGAGGGAGGAAGGCUCUUGGGUUGUAAACCUCUUUUCUCAGGGAAGAAGCUCUGACGGUACCUGAGGAACCAGCCUCGGCUAACUCCGUGCCAGCAGCCGCGGUAAUACGGAGGAGGCAAGCGUUAUCCGGAAUUAUUGGGCGUAAAGCGUCCGCAGGUGGCGAUUCAAGUCUGCUGUCAAAGCACGGGGCUUAACUCCGUAAAGGCAGUGGAAACUGAAUAGCUAGAGUGCCGUAGGGGUAGAGGGAAUUCCCGGUGUAGCGGUGAAAUGCGUAGAGAUCGGGAAGAACAUCGGUGCCGAAAGCGCUCUACUGGACGGCAACUGACACUCAGGGACGAAAGCUAGGGGAGCGAAUGGGAUUAGAUACCCC
RNAcentral lists this ribosomal RNA (660 nucleotides) under uncultured bacterium. Its description in RNAcentral is "bacterial SSU rRNA". It matches the Rfam family "Bacterial small subunit ribosomal RNA", at positions 94 to 788 of the family's 1533-position model. The record is from RNAcentral.